CUCGCCUACGGUGGCUGACGAGGCUCAGUACAUUGUGCGGAGCUGGAGCACCGUGAGGAAGAAGGGAGGUUCUCUUUAAGAGUUCAGCUGCGAGGCUGUAACAGAGGAGGAAAUGAUUUUGAAUAGCCUCUCUCUGUGUUAUCAUAAUAAGCUAAUCCUUGCCCCAAUGGUUCGGGUAGGGACUCUUCCAAUGAGGCUGCUGGCCUUGGAUUAUGGAGCAGACAUUGUUUACUGUGAGGAGCUGAUCGACCUCAAGAUGAUUCAGUGCAAGAGAGUUGUCAAUGAGGUGCUCAGCACAGUGGACUUUGUCGCCCCUGAUGAUCGAGUUGUCUUCCGCACCUGUGAAAGAGAGCAAAACAGGGUGGUCUUCCAGAUGGGGACUUCAGACGCAGAGCGAGCCCUUGCUGUGGCCAGGCUUGUAGAAAAUGAUGUGGCUGGCAUUGACGUCAACAUGGGCUGUCCAAAAGAAUAUUCCACCAAGGGAGGAAUGGGAGCUGCUCUGCUGUCAGACCCUGACAAGAUUGAGAAGAUCCUCAGCACUCUUGUUAGAGGGACACGCAGACCUGUGACUUGCAAGAUUCGCAUCCUGCCAUCGCUAGAAGAUACUCUGAGCCUUGUGAAGCGGAUAGAGAGGACUGGCAUUGCUGCCAUCGCAGUUCAUGGGAGGAAGCGGGAGGAGCAACCUCAGCAUCCUGUCAGCUGUGAAGUCAUCAAAGCCAUUGCUGAUACCCUCUCCAUUCCUGUCAUAGCCAACGGAGGAUCUCAUGACCACAUCCAACAGUAUUCGGACAUAGAGGACUUUCGACAAGCCACGGCAGCCUCUUCUGUGAUGGUGGCCCGAGCAGCCAUGUGGAACCCAUCUAUAUUCCUCAAGGAGGGUCUGCGGCCCCUGGAGGAGGUCAUGCAGAAAUACAUCAGAUAUGGGGAAGUUAGAGGCUAUUCAAGAUGUGGGAAGGGAAGGUGCCCAUUCUGGUUAGAAGGAAUAGAAGAACUUCAACCCCUUUCCCAGCACUGGACCUGCCAUGCCAGAAUUUGGCGGUGCAGUAUGACAACCACUACACCAACACCAAGUACUGCUUGUGCCAGAUGCUACGAGAACAGCUGGAGUCGCCCCAGGGAAGGUUGCUCCAUGCUGCCCAGUCUUCCCGGGAAAUUUGUGAGGCUUUUGGCCUUGGUGCCUUCUAUGAGGAGACCACACAGGAGCUGGAUGCCCAGCGGGCUAAGCUGUCAGCCAGGACUUCAGAGGAGACAGGGGAGCCAGCUGAAGAUACCUCUGGUGUCAUUAAGAUGGCUGUCAAGUUUGACCGGAGAGCAUACCCAGCCCAGAUCACCCCCAAGAUGUGCCUACUAGAGUGGUGCCGGAGGGAGAAGUUGGCACAGCCUGUGUAUGAAACGGUUCAACGCCCUCUAGAUCGCCUGUUCUCCUCCAUUGUCACCGUUGCUGAACAAAAGUAUCAAUCUACCUUGUGGGACAAGUCCAAGAAACUGGCGGAGCAGGCUGCAGCCAUCGUCUGUCUGCGGAGCCAGGGCCUCCCUGAGGGUCGGCUGGGUGAGGAGAGCCCUUCCUUGCACAAGCGAAAGAGGGAGGCUCCUGACCAAGACCCUGGGGGCCCCAGAGCUCAGGAGCUAGCACAACCUGGGGAGCUGUGCAAGAAGCCCUUUGUGGCCUUAGGAAGUAGUGAAGAGAGCCCCCUGGAAGGCUGGUGACUACUCUUCCUGCCCUAGUCACCCCCUCCAUGGGCCUGGUGCUAAGGUGGCUGUGGAUGCCACAGCAUGAACCAGAUGCUGGUCUUGCCUGGCAGGAGUUAGAUGUCCUGGCAUGGGCCAUCAGCCUAAAGCAUGGACCAGGGGCCGCCCAAGGGUGGAUCCUGGCCCCUUUGGUGGAUCUGAGUGACAGGGUCAAGUUCUCUUUGAAAACAGGAGCUUUUCAGCUGGUACCUCCCCAACCUGACAUUGGUACUGUGCAAUAAAGACACCCCCUACCCUCACCCAUGGCUGGCUGCUUUAGCCUUGGGCAUCUUCAUAAA
Piliocolobus tephrosceles (Ugandan red Colobus) is the source of this 2027-nucleotide RNA transcript. It is a transcript of the gene named dihydrouridine synthase 2, with no coding region annotated. The record is from RefSeq and is a predicted model, not a curated record. Lineage: Eukaryota; Metazoa; Chordata; Mammalia; Primates; Cercopithecidae. The transcript has 17 exons.